AUCUAGCCGACGAGUCCCAAAUAGGACGAAACGCGUGUUGAACUGGAU
Schistosoma margrebowiei is the source of this 48-nucleotide non-coding RNA. The record is from Rfam. Lineage: Eukaryota; Metazoa; Platyhelminthes; Trematoda; Strigeidida; Schistosomatidae.